CGGGGUGUAGCGCAGUCCGGUCAGCGCAUCGGUUUUGGGAACCGAGGGUCGGAGGUUCAAAUCCUCUCACCCCGACCA
Molecule: transfer RNA, 78 nt
Filed under: bacterium
Lineage: Bacteria
Description: tRNA-Pro
Rfam family: tRNA
About the family: Transfer RNA (tRNA) molecules are approximately 80 nucleotides in length. Their secondary structure includes four short double-helical elements and three loops (D, anti-codon, and T loops). Further hydrogen bonds mediate the characteristic L-shaped molecular structure. tRNAs have two regions of fundamental functional importance: the anti-codon, which is responsible for specific mRNA codon recognition, and the 3' end, to which the tRNAs corresponding amino acid is attached (by aminoacyl-tRNA synthetases). tRNAs cope with the degeneracy of the genetic code in two manners: having more than one tRNA (with a specific anti-codon) for a particular amino acid; and 'wobble' base-pairing, i.e. permitting non-standard base-pairing at the 3rd anti-codon position.
Source: RNAcentral